GGAAUUUCCAGCGGAACCAGAAGUGGAUCAUCGUGGAUAUAGACUAAUCUGUUGGUGACUGUUAGAGCGCUCUUCUUUUCACCACUAAAUAGUGAUGCAACACAAUGUGUGAAGUUAUAGCUUAGGCGUCUGUUAGCAUAUUUGCAGAGUAAGUAUUGGGUUGUAUGCCUUCUUCAUUUUCUGUCCAAUUUGACCUUUUACAACUCCAUAAUGCAAGAAGGAUGUGGGUCAUCAUUUUGGGCUCUUGCCACAACUGGUGUCAGCAAAUACGUGCAGAAAUGGGUAAAUCAAGAUGGCAAAGAUGACAGCAAGUCUACAGUAUAUCCUCAUAUUAGAGCACAUUGGUAGUCGGCCCCAUCUGGGAUGUGACUGUGAUUGUACAUGCUGUAGCAGCAGACCCUGCUGUUCUUCCACUAUAACCCAUAUAGUAUGACACGAAGACAAAGAAAGCAAGGGGAGUGGGCACCAUCAGAAAAUUAUAUUUGCUUCAUUGCAGGAAAAAAAAAAAGCCCAUUGUAUUUUUUCUUUAAGGCCCUUCUUUCAGUUCACUUUCAGUCUCAACUGUAUAUAAAUGAGUUUCUCAAACGCAACAAAUUUGUUUAAUAGAAUUCAACAUCCUAUUUUGAGAGAUUUUCUGUUUGCCAAACAGAUGAUAAAGGUGUUGGAUUUUGUUUUUAGAAGAUGGAUGCAAAUAGCACAAUAGGUUGCAUAGGGUUUCUUUUAUAUCUACAAUAACCGGGAUUAAUGAAAACAACGAGCGACUAACAUCUUUGUCUCUUAAUACUGUAGGUUGUUGAGUUCAAGUGUAAAUGGUUUAUUAUGUGGUUUAUAUAAUCUGGCUUUUCGCAUCCCGUUAAAGGAAGGAGGGUGUAACUUUGGUUUUGGGGGAUAUUUAUGAUUUUGUGUACAUGUGGAAGUAUUGAAGACGUUUGUGCUGUUUAAUAAAUCCUCUACUGAUUAUUGA
Sander lucioperca (pikeperch) is the source of this 964-nucleotide long non-coding RNA. RefSeq lists it as uncharacterized. The transcript has 2 exons. Lineage: Eukaryota; Metazoa; Chordata; Actinopteri; Perciformes; Percidae. The record is from RefSeq and is a predicted model, not a curated record.